RNAcentral lists this ribosomal RNA (1267 nucleotides) under Chryseobacterium sp. FM1. RNAcentral describes it as "bacterial SSU rRNA". It matches the Rfam family "Bacterial small subunit ribosomal RNA", at positions 86 to 1360 of the family's 1533-position model. Lineage: Bacteria; Pseudomonadati; Bacteroidota; Flavobacteriia; Flavobacteriales; Weeksellaceae. The record is from RNAcentral.
AGAGAGAGAGCGGCGUACGGGUGCGUAACACGUGUGCAACCUACCUUUAUCAGGAGGAUAGCCUUUCGAAAGGAAGAUUAAUACUCCAUAAUAUAUUAGAUGGCAUCAUUUAAUAUUGAAAACUCCGGUGGAUAGAGAUGGGCACGCGCAAGAUUAGAUAGUUGGUGAGGUAACGGCUCACCAAGUCAUUGAUCUUUAGGGGUCCUGAGAGGGAGAUCCCCCACACUGGUACUGAGACACGGACCAGACUCCUACGGGAGGCAGCAGUGAGGAAUAUUGGACAAUGGGUGAGAGCCUGAUCCAGCCAUCCCGCGUGAAGGAUGACGGUCCUACGGAUUGUAAACUUCUUUUGUAUAGGGAUAAACCCAGAUACGUGUAUCUGGCUGAAGGUACUAUACGAAUAAGCACCGGCUAACUCCGUGCCAGCAGCCGCGGUAAUACGGAGGGUGCAAGCGUUAUCCGGAUUUAUUGGGUUUAAAGGGUCCGCAGGCGGGCCGAUAAGUCAGUGGUGAAAUCUCAUAGCUUAACUAUGAAACUGCCAUUGAUACUGUCGGUCUUGAGUAAAUUAGAGGUAGCUGGAAUAAGUAGUGUAGCGGUGAAAUGCAUAGAUAUUACUUAGAACACCAAUUGCGAAGGCAGGUUACCAUGAUUUAACUGACGCUGAGGGACGAAAGCGUGGGGAGCGAACAGGAUUAGAUACCCUGGUAGUCCACGCCGUAAACGAUGCUAACUCGUUUUUGGGGCGCAAGCUUCAGAGACCAAGCGAAAGUGAUAAGUUAGCCACCUGGGGAGUACGUUCGCAAGAAUGAAACUCAAAGGAAUUGACGGGGGCCCGCACAAGCGGUGGAUUAUGUGGUUUAAUUCGAUGAUACGCGAGGAACCUUACCAAGACUUAAAUGGGAAAUGACAGGUUUAGAAAUAGAUCCUUCUUCGGACAUUUUUCAAGGUGCUGCAUGGUUGUCGUCAGCUCGUGCCGUGAGGUGUUAGGUUAAGUCCUGCAACGAGCGCAACCCCUGUCACUAGUUGCUAACAUUCAGUUGAGGACUCUAGUGAGACUGCCUACGCAAGUAGAGAGGAAGGUGGGGAUGACGUCAAAUCAUCACGGCCCUUACGUCUUGGGCCACACACGUAAUACAAUGGCCGGUACAGAGGGCAGCUACACAGCGAUGUGAUGCAAAUCUCGAAAGCCGGUCUCAGUUCGGAUUGGAGUCUGCAACUCGACUCUAUGAAGCUGGAAUCGCUAGUAAUCGCGCAUCAGCCAUGGCGC